Molecule: ribosomal RNA, 551 nt
Filed under: uncultured bacterium
Lineage: Bacteria
Description: partial 16S ribosomal RNA
Rfam family: Bacterial small subunit ribosomal RNA
Source: RNAcentral
UAGGGAAUCUUCCACAAUGGACGCAAGUCUGAUGGAGCAACGCCGCGUGAGUGAAGAAGGUCUUCGGAUCGUAAAGCUCUGUUGUUGGUGAAGAAGGAUAGAGGCAGUAACUGGUCUUUAUUUGACGGUAAUCAACCAGAAAGUCACGGCUAACUACGUGCCAGCAGCCGCGGUAAUACGUAGGUGGCAAGCGUUGUCCGGAUUUAUUGGGCGUAAAGCGAGCGCAGGCGGAAUGAUAAGUCUGAUGUGAAAGCCCACGGCUCAACCGUGGAACUGCAUCGGAAACUGUCAUUCUUGAGUGCAGAAGAGGAGAGUGGAACUCCAUGUGUAGCGGUGGAAUGCGUAGAUAUAUGGAAGAACACCAGUGGCGAAGGCGGCUCUCUGGUCUGCAACUGACGCUGAGGCUCGAAAGCAUGGGUAGCGAACAGGAUUAGAUACCCUGGUAGUCCAUGCCGUAAAACGAUGAGCGCUAGGUGUUGGGGACUUUCCGGUCCUCAGUGCCGCAGCAAACGCAUUAAGCGCUCCGCCUGGGGAGUACGACCGCAAGGUUG